Molecule: ribosomal RNA, 497 nt
Filed under: uncultured bacterium
Lineage: Bacteria
Description: partial 16S ribosomal RNA
Rfam family: Bacterial small subunit ribosomal RNA
Source: RNAcentral
GAUGAACGCUGGCGGCGUGCCUAAUACAUGCAAGUCGAGCGAACAGAUGAGGAGCUUGCUCCUCUGACGUUAGCGGCGGACGGGUGAGUAACACGUGGAUAACCUACCUAUAAGACUGGGAUAACUUCGGGAAACCGGAGCUAAUACCGGAUAAUAUAUUGAACCGCAUGGUUCAAUAGUGAAAGACGGUUUUGCUGUCACUUAUAGAUGGAUCCGCGCCGCAUUAGCUAGUUGGUAAGGUAACGGCUUACCAAGGCAACGAUGCGUAGCCGACCUGAGAGGGUGAUCGGCCACACUGGAACUGAGACACGGUCCAGACUCCUACGGGAGGCACCAGUAGGGAAUCUUCCGCAAUGGGCGAAAGCCUGACGGAGCAACGCCGCGUGAGUGAUGAAGGUCUUCGGAUCGUAAAACUCUGUUAUUAGGGAGGAACAAUUGUGUAAGUAACUAUGCACGUCUUGACGGUACCUAAUCAGAAAGCCACGGCUAACUACGUG